This 75-nucleotide transfer RNA is filed under the name marine sediment metagenome. RNAcentral describes it as "tRNA-Ile". It matches the Rfam family "tRNA". Rfam says of the family: Transfer RNA (tRNA) molecules are approximately 80 nucleotides in length. The record is from RNAcentral.
AUAGGUAUAGCUCAGCAUAGUCAGAGCACCAGCCUGAUAAGUUGAUGGCUGGUGGUUCGAAUCCAUCUCCCGCUA